Acinonyx jubatus (cheetah) is the source of this 2205-nucleotide long non-coding RNA. RefSeq lists it as uncharacterized. NCBI's taxonomy places the organism in Eukaryota, Metazoa, Chordata, Mammalia, Carnivora, Felidae. The transcript is spliced from 3 exons. The record is from RefSeq and is a predicted model, not a curated record.
UUUACUUUUGUUAAUAAUAUGUCUUGAAAAUUUUUCUAUUUUCUGUUUUUAGUACAUAUAAUUAAAUUUAGUGGUCUUUUACCUCUCUGACCUCAGCCGCAGCAAUAUCUUACUUGAUACAUCCCCAAAGGCAAGGAAAUUAAAAGCAAAAAUGAACUAUUGGGACCUCAUGAAGAUAAAAAGCUUCUGCACAGCAAAGGAAACAAUCAACAAAACUAAAAGGCAACCAACAGAAUGGGAAAAGAUAUUUGCAAAUGACAUAUCGGACAAAGGGCUAGUAUCCAAAAUCUAUAAAGAGCUCACCAAAUUCCACACCCGGAAAACAAAUAACCCAGUGAAGAAAUGGGCAGGAAACAUGAAUAGACACUUCUUUAAAGAAGACAUCCAGAUGGCCAACAGGCACGUGAAAAGAUGCUCAACAUCGCUCCUCAUCAGGGAAAUAUAAAUCAAAACCACACUCAGAUAUCACCUCACACCAGUCAGAGUGGCCAAAAUGAACAAAUCAGGAGACUAGAGAUGCUGAUUUGGUGACAACAUCAGGAUACCAAGUGAACUUCUGACGGCAUUUGGAGACAAGGAGAAACACAGGCAUGGCACUCCGAGAACUCUUUUUAGUUCAUAGUCUAUCUCGUCAUUUCUGAGGGCUGUUGAGCCCUCAAACUUUCUCCCUCUGGACCUUUGGAACACAUGAGCCUGGACUUCAUUCAUUUCCUCCAGGUAUGGGUUAUCAGUAUGCUCUUGUUACUGUAUAUAUGUCUCCUGUGAUGAGGCUUUUUGGGGGUGACAGUGGGGUUCAUGGGGUCUGGAGCCGAUGACCAAGAAAGAAUUCUUGAAGACAUCUUUGGUGCAAAAAGGUGAUUUUAUUAAAGUAUGGGGACAGGACCCGUGGGCAGAAAAACUGCCCCUGGACCAUGAGGAGAGACUGGUUACAUACUAUGGGGUUGGGGCAGGUAAAUUCCAGGGGAAGUUUCCAGUGAGAUUUUCAUAGGCUAAAGAAGACUUACAGGAUAGUGGAGACCUAGCUAUUGUCAAGCCUGGUUGUUUUCCCUCUAGCAAAGCAUUAGCAUUAAGACAGUAAGGAGUUCCCGGAGAGGCUUUUUACUCUGCCUGCCUCAUGUAUUUGUCAAUGGGUUGCAGGUUAUAAGGAAACUUGGUUCUAUCUGCCAUUUCCUUCUGCCUUUGUUUUCCACAUCACUAUGGACAGGUGGUGGAGACUUAGGUCCUGCAGGACUAUGAUCUCUAUCAGUUAACCAUUUGUUUCUACCCUUUUCCUUUGUUCAUGGGCAGCCAGGAGUGCCCAAGGAAUAUCACACAUAUCCCAUCUGGUUGGGUGGGAGAGGGGUGUUUGUGGCCUGUCAGCUUGCCUUAUACUCCCUCAUCAUCCUGGAUGGUUUGAAGCUUUCCCUAGCUGUAAGGUUGAUGCCCUUACAUAGUAAAGAAACUAUUAUGCCCUUACGUAGUAAAGAAACUAUUAGAAAACAUGUUUCCAUUUGCAGUAUACCUUACAUAAUUUCCAGUGAUUUAGGCACCCACUUCACAGGGCAAAUCCUACAAGUCUUAAUAAUGGCCUUGCAAACAUUUUAGGAUUAUCAGUGUCCCUAGCACCCUAAGACAUCAGAUGAGGUUGAGAGAACUAAUAGGAUCCUCAAAGUUAAAAUCUCUAAGCUUGCUGAAAGAAACUGUUAUGGAAACUGGUCUGGAUCACCCAGCAGAAGAACCAAGCAGCACUCGGAGAUCUUGGAAGGCAGGAGGUUUAUUUUACACUGGUGCACACCAAGAGGAGAUCAUUUUCCAGAGGUCUGAGUCCAGAGCAUCAACAGAGGGGACAAUUUAUAGUAUGUUACUUCUGCAUUCCUCAUUAGUAGUGACAGUGGCAAGCGGGUAGGAAGGAAAUCCUGGAAGGGGAGUCUUCAGGCAGGGACUGGAAUUCCCUUAGCAGUCCUGUUGGCCAUCUUGUAACAGAUUUUUCCCUAUCAAAACUAUACUAUACUGCCUUGAGUAUUAUCUCUAGCUCUGCUGAAUAUUCACAGUACCCUCUUUGGGAAACAUAAAAUUCACGCCAUAUGAGAUAGUCACCCUUAGACCAUUGUGUGUUGGCAUACAACCUUCUGUUGGUCUUCUGUUAUCCCCUGCUAAUAUAGCCAGCUACUGUAGAUCUUUAAUGUCUUACGCUAAAGCCUAUCAUUAACAGGUUAAAGCUUUACC